Molecule: ribosomal RNA, 503 nt
Filed under: uncultured bacterium
Lineage: Bacteria
Description: partial 16S ribosomal RNA
Rfam family: Bacterial small subunit ribosomal RNA
Source: RNAcentral
AUUGAACGCUGGCGGCAGGCUUAAUACAUGCAAGUCGAGCGGGGUGAUGGUGCUUGCACUAUCACUUAGCGGCGGACGGGUGAGUAAUGCUUAGGAAUCUGCCUAUUAGUGGGGGACAACAUCCCGAAAGGGAUGCUAAUACCGCAUACGUCCUACGGGAGAAAGCAGGGGAUCACUUGUGACCUUGCGCUAAUAGAUGAGCCUAAGUCGGAUUAGCUAGUUGGUGGGGUAAAGGCCUACCAAGGCGACGAUCUGUAGCGGGGCUGAGAGGGUGGUCCGCCACACUGGGACUGAGAAACGGCCCAGACUCCUACGGGAGGCAGCAGUGGGGAAUAUUGCGCAAUGGGGGGAACCCUGAUCCAGCCAUGCCGCGUGUGGGAAGAAGGCCUUAUGGUUGUAAAGCACUUUAAGCGAGGAGGAGGCUCUUUUGGUUAAUACCCAGGAUGAGUGGACGUUACUCGCAGAAUAAGCACCGGCUAACUCCGUGCCAGCCGCCGCGGUAA